This 329-nucleotide long non-coding RNA is filed under the name Homo sapiens (human). RNAcentral describes it as "HSALNT0034941". The record is from RNAcentral. Lineage: Eukaryota; Metazoa; Chordata; Mammalia; Primates; Hominidae.
UGAAGGUGGAUGCAUGCUGACUCAGAUGUCAAGUAAAAAAUCCAACAAGCUUUCAACAAUAUGCACAGAAUGAAUUGGAAAAAGAAUGAAUCACAGCAACGGGACAGACUCAAGAGGAGAGAGAAAUGGGGUAUCGAGACCCGUACAAACACACUCUUCAAGAGAAAACCUAUGGCUAAAGAGAUUCCACAGCAGAGAAAGAGAAAUGAAAUAGGGGGAGAGCAUGAUCCAGGAGCAAGAUCCAGAAGAAAGAGAACCGGGAAGCUUGGUAGAAUUCUGUGAGUCCUGUGAUAUGUAACAACAAGGAGCAUCCACCCAUCCUUUCAUUA